UUUUUGUUUUUUUUUUUUUUUUGGAGAAUUUGCUAACAGAUGUAAUGAUAACAAGUAACAUGUAUUGAGGUUAAUUGUGAAGCAGAGGUCUGGGAAGAGCUUUGCAUAAUUCUAGACAACAUUCCACAAGAUAAAAGGCACUCUUACAUAAUGGGUAGGAACAGGAGCUCAGCAGACUGCCUGGGUGUGAAUCCCAGCAGUGAUGUAGAAGCUGUGUUCUCAGAUAGGGCACCUAACCCCUCUGUUCCCCAGGCUUCCUCCUCUCAAAUACAGGACAAUAACCUUCCUUGCCACUCAGGUUACUGUGGUUAACAUGAAGAUGAAAUAAGGCGUGUUUCUAAUCCAAGAGUGAUUUGACCUCCUCUCCCUCCCCGGGGACAUUUGGCGACAUCUGAAGACGUCUCUGGUUGUCACAACUGGCAGGGGAAAAUAUUACCAACAACUAGUGGGUAGCAGUUGACGAUCUCACUGAACACACUAUAAUGUGGACACUCUCCAAUAGAAUUUUUCAGCCCAAUGUCCGAAGCAUAACCCUGUAAAACCAUGAUGUUCACUAAGCCCUCAGCAAGUGCCUGGCACACAGUAAAAGCUCAAUAAACACUACUUCCUUUCUGCUCUCUAAAUCAUAAGUGACGUGGCCUGACCCCAAGGCAUGGUUCUGUCUGUACCUCUCACAUCAGAAAGCUGAGUCUGGCCCACGUGGGACACAGGACGUUCACUUGGGGCCAGGUCCUGUGCUGACAGCUUCAUAUGUUCUCUCCCAUGUCCCCUCAACAACUGCUGAGGGUGUCCUCUAUUAUUGGCGCUAUUUUAGAGGAGGAAACAGGUUUCAGGGAGGCUCACAAGUCACAGAGCUAGAGAGUAACUGGACUUAAACUAGAUCUAACUGCUCUUCAGGCACACAGUGGCAGAGCGUACAGGUUACCUUCCCCUCCUCCCCCAGAAAAAGUAGGAGGUGUUCUUGUUUAUGUAUGAAAUCUCUCUAGAUGGCAACACAAUACUCUGGCAACAACGAAUACCUCUGGAGCAAACUGGGAACCUGGGAACAGGGGAGGGAGGGUGACUUUUCAUUGUUGUAUUUGGAACCUGUGAAUGUAUUGUCUGAAAUAUAAAUAAAACUGAAAUUAAAGAAAGACUGUCCAUUAACUACCAGCUUUUUUCCCUGAGCUGCCUGGGUUUGAGCACCCAGAGGUGUUCGUUAAAAACAUAUUCUUCUUGGAGUGCCUGGGUGGCUCAGUUAAGCAUUCCGACUCUUGAUUUUGGCUCGUCAUGGUCUCAGGAUCGUGAGAUCAAGCCCCACUUCAGGCUCUGUGCUGGGCGUGGAGUCUACUUAAGAUUCUCUCUCUGCCUCUCCCUCUGCCCCUUCACCCCAUCCCAAAUAAAGAUUCUAGAUCUACCUGGACCAACUUUCCAGGGGAAAGAUUUAGAUAUCUAAAUUUUGCAAGCUAAUCUGAUGAUUGUUGACUUCAGGCAAAUUUAGGAAGGAACACUUAAGACUAGAGUCGCAGGCCAGAAAUCAUUGCAGCCAGCUCCCAGGUCUCUGGAGAAGCAGGGAGGGGUGGGGGUGGGGAACACAUGGAAGAUGGCUAGGUCUUCUCUGGGGAGAGUGGAGAGUUCCACACAGGGGCUCCUGCUCCCCACUACUCAGUCCCAGUCAGGGAGGCUGUCCUGGGACUGGGGGGUGGGGGGGUGGGUGGGUCCUGCUGCAUAUGAUGCAUGACAGAAGCAAAAAGCUACAAUAGGAAAAAAGAGGAUCCUCUGCCCCACUUAGCCCACUAAGCUAUUAGCACAUUUGAGUUUGCACAAAACAAGAACUUAAGGCCACACUCCCCCCCUGCCCAACCAACCUCCACUUGGAUCAAAGGACUUUGUUUUUAUAAAACCAUGUUCUGUAUUGGGUUUCUGGGACCAUGGGGGGCCAGGCAAAUAACAUAAACAAAGCUGGCCUGGUGUGAGACAAGGGAAUGGUGGGGACUGUGGCAAUCAUAUCUGGGAAAGAGGGCGCUGCAACCCUGUUCCUUCUCACUGUUACUCUGUGAGGUGGGACCAGGGAUGCGUCUGCCUUUGGCUCAGGUCUGUGAUCCUGGGAUGUCUCUGCCUCUCUCUCUUUCUCUUUCUGUCUCUCAUGAAUAAAUACAUAAAAUCUCAAAAAAAAAAAAAGGGGGGGGGGGUGGUGGUGGGGGUGGGACCAGUGCUGCUGCUGCUGGAUCUCCCAAUUUCUUAAGCAAAGACAGAAUCAGUAUGUAAGAUUUUUGUGACAGCCUAGGGUCUGAGCCAGACUUUCUAGGCUUGAAGUCUAGCCAAUUACUUAACCUCUUUGGGUGUCAAUUUUUGCCAUCUGCAAAAGAGACAAAUAUUCCUGCCAAGAUACACAUCUUGAUUAUAAUAAUAACGGGAAAUUAUCGGGGAAAUGAGACUGAGGUGGCAUUCUACAAAAACCAUAGGCCUGGACUCCAGAAAUGUCCAUGUUACAAAGGACAAAAAAGGCUGCUCCAUAUUCAAAGCAACUAAAGAGACGUGACAACUGAAUGCAAUACAUGACCCUGAAGGGAAAAAUCAUGGCCAGAAAGGACAUGCUCAGGACUUGUGGAGAACUGAACACAAAUGUCCUAUUAAAUAGUACUGUAUCAAUGUCAAAUUCCCUGAAUCCAAUCACUUGAAUUGAGGUUAGAUAGGAGAAUGUCCUUGGCUUUAGGAGGAAGUACUUAGGCAUGAAGGAUGGUAUUGGCAACCAAUGCAUGGGACCUCACAGAGAAAAAUAUCGCUUUUUCUCCUCAUUCACAGCUUCAGUUAUCUGUGAAUCUCCUGCUUGCUGAGGUCAAACAAGCACCAUUCUGUCUCAGUCUUCUUAAACAAGUGUCCUUUUCACAGUCGAUUUAGGCUACAUUUUUCACAUUUGGUGCUUUCUGUUGGUUUUGCUAUUUUUUAUUUUUUAAUUUUAAUUUUUUUUUUUUUUUUUACGGGAGGCUCCAUGCCCAAACAUGGGGCUUGAACUCAUCACUCUUGAGAUCAAGAAGAUUACUUUAAAAAAAAAGGCAGCCAUGAUAUGUCUUACAAAGAAAUACCUUUGGGAAAAGCUUCAUUUAGGUACAAGUUAUCAUGCUGUGAGCCAUGAGUGAGUUCAUUGUUCACAAAUCAACAAUUAAAUUAAAUAAGGUGUCUUUAAACAGAAACACACAUAGGGGUGCCUGGCUGGCUCAGUUGGUGAAACACACCACUUGAUCUUGGUGAUUUUUUGUCUGAGUGCUGUGUGUAGAGAUUACUUAAAAAUAAAAAAAACAAAAACAAACACAUAACACAAGGUCACCUACUGAACAGCUAACAAAAUAUGGUGACCUGAGGCUCGUCGGAACUUAACCACACAGGAACAAUGGUUCAACAUCCACUAAUUCAUAGGACACAACUGCUGUCGAGUAACAAGAACGGACUAUAUUUCAGUCACUAUUCAUGCAACUUCUCUGCAGGUUUGAAAUUUUUCAAAAAUGUCAAGAAUUUUUUUUUGUGCUUAGAGGCUCACCUGAUUGGGGCACCAGGAGAAAUUAAUACCAGGUGGUCCAGACCCAACAAAUACAAACACAAGAAGUAUCCAUUAUGAGUAUAUUUAUGUGUGUACACACACACACACACACACACACACACACACACACACACACGAGACACUGAACGGGGAAGGUGGCCAAGACAGAAAAGACAAGAAGCAUCCAAGUGGCACUGGCACUCAGGAUGGAGAGAGACAAAGGGAGCGCUUGGCCCCCCUCUGGCUCCCACAGUGGCCUCCUAAGGGAGGUGAACCCGAAGCUGGAAGAACAGGAAGUGCUUACUCUCUCAGCGGAAAGUUUCAAAGUGCAGUCCUUUCUCUUUAAAAAAAAAAAAAAAAAAAAA
RNAcentral lists this long non-coding RNA (3882 nucleotides) under Canis lupus familiaris (dog). RNAcentral describes it as "lncRNA (ENSCAFG00000052341.1)". The record is from RNAcentral. Lineage: Eukaryota; Metazoa; Chordata; Mammalia; Carnivora; Canidae.